GACGUAGGUGGCGAACGUUAUCCGGAAUUAUUGGGCGUAAAGGGUGCGUAGACGGCAUGAUAAGUUAUUGGCGGGAAAUCGAGGCUCAACCUCGUGGAAACUGAUAAUACUGUUUUGCUUGAGUACAGGAGAGGUUAGCGGAACUCCAUGUGGAGCGGUAAAAUGUGUAGAUAUAUGGAAGAACAUCAAUAACGGCGAAGGCAGUUAACUAUUCUGUUACUGACGUUGAGGCACGAAAGCGUGGGGAGCAAAACGG
Molecule: ribosomal RNA, 256 nt
Filed under: uncultured bacterium
Lineage: Bacteria
Description: partial 16S ribosomal RNA
Rfam family: Bacterial small subunit ribosomal RNA
Source: RNAcentral